AUCCAGCUGACGAGUCUCAAAUGGGACGAAACGUGCGUCCUGGAU
Molecule: non-coding RNA, 45 nt
Filed under: Schistosoma mansoni
Lineage: Eukaryota; Metazoa; Platyhelminthes; Trematoda; Strigeidida; Schistosomatidae
Source: RNAcentral